GAAGCCCGGCGGGUUCCCUCCCCGCGCUGCGCCCGCCGGAGCAUCGGGAGCGUCGCGUUUUUGCCGUCUGCGCCGGGGGAUGGGAUCAGGCGAGCGCAGGGCCUCCACACAAGCUCCCGUUUCUGCUCUGGAAACGGUCAUAAGAGGAAGCUCCGAGCUUUAUUCUCGUGAAGAACAUUUUUCUCGUUCUCGCAGCAUUACAGGUUAACGUGAUGUUACUUCUGAUCUCCGCUAGAUACAGAACCAGUAAUAACCAGUCUAACCUCCCUAAGAGGCCGAUCCUCUGCACGCGACAGGGAACGCCACAGACGACGCUAUUCGUGCAGACACCGCUUGAGUUACGGCGUCUUCCCGAACUGACCUGUGGAAUGCGGUGCUUUGCUGAAAGCUACACGUUCUCUGGGAAAACCUCUACCACAAGGCUAGAGGAGAAGGAGGAAGAGGCCCAACAGAAGUCCUGAAUGUUCAGACUGCUUUAAUCGAAAAGGAUCUCCUCUGAUCCUCAGUAUGGAGGGGCUGCACACAGGGUUGCAAUGCAGGACUCUGCAGGCUACGGCUGCUCUCCCUCCUGUAAAGUAUGCACAAUAGAUUCCAGUUUGUCUCCUGGAGAAGAUACCAGUACUAAGUGAAAGCAGGUAAUUACAAACAGGAUGGAGGCAUGGAAUAUUUUGGGGGGAAGAUGGUUUAGCAGCUGGUGACUGUAGCUUCCAGGUAGUCUGUCUUGACUUGAGGGCAUCCAUGCAUUUGCCUGAAGCAAGCAAGCAUGUUAAUUGCAUUUCAGUUGCACACAAGCCUCCAGGAGUUACUCCUGCGCGUUGGUAAUACCACUGCCUGCCCGGUGCCUAAAACCAGUAAAGUUGGCCAACUUUACAGAUAAACCCUUCUGGUGUGGAGGAAGUUGUCUUAAUCCCAAUCAUUCUACUAAUCCGGUUUACCGAGUACCCCGCAGCAGAUGUACGUGAGCAGUAGUCAGCUGUGGCCCAGCAGUAGAAAUUUCCUUGGUAGGCUCCGUCAAAGCCAACACGUUAUGUAACAACACUGACUGAAAAAAACUAUUUCCAACUAUCAGGAUUUUUUGUGGAGUUGGCAGCCAUGCUCUUUAAGAGGAAAAAUACUGCAAAUCAACCCUACCUCUGUCAGAAGUGUGAAAAAGGAGGUUUAUUUGUAUGUUGCAAUAAUUGUUUCUUACUGACUUCUACAAUUUGGCAUUGGGAGACAGCAGGAAGAACCGGAGCCUUUGUUCAGAGCUGAACCAUGAGGGCUCGGGAGCUUUUUGGGGACUGAGCUUGGGCACAACUGCUAAGGCAGUGAACAGCGUGAAGCCUGUGCAUUCAUCUAUGUGUUAAAACAAACAGGGGAAAUUACAGGAACUUGGUGGUAGAGGUGGUAAGGAUAUAGCUUGGAUUCAAGUGUUGUUUGUACACGCUUUCAAAAAUUCUGGCUAUGAUAAUAUUUCACACUACUUAGUUGAGUUUCAUUCUGCUUUGUAAUGUUGCCUUAUGAAUUAAAAAUGUGUUAACCUUG
Long non-coding RNA from Harpia harpyja (harpy eagle), 1524 nucleotides. RefSeq lists it as uncharacterized. The transcript has 2 exons. The record is from RefSeq and is a predicted model, not a curated record. Lineage: Eukaryota; Metazoa; Chordata; Aves; Accipitriformes; Accipitridae.